GAGAGAGAGAGAGAGAGAGACGCUGUCGACCAGAGAUCUAAGACGGAGGUAUCGUGUUGUGGAGAGCGUUUAUGUUUUAUUGUGGAAGUCGACGGCUUGUUAUCCUCAUAUAAACUUCUGUGUGACCUGCAAGAGGAGGCUGACGGUGGAGAAGGAGAGGUCGAGACGGGUUUCCAACAGACGGCCCUGCUGUUUUUCUUCCUUGUGACUUCGCUGCUGUGCGCCAUUGCCCACGCUGUGUGCUUGAACUGUGACUGCCAUUGCCCUCAUGAGACUGCCAUCGUUUGUCCCCCUCUAUCCCCACUAACAAACAUUGGAUUCAUGUAUUUUCCUGAGGCUGUGCAUGUCAGCGGCUGCAGGGAUGCAUGGGGUAGAUGACUGCUGCUGUCGUUGGUGGGCUGUAAUGUGAGGGCCUUCUCAUGUUCUAUGGCCCUCCAGGGCACUGUAGUCCGAGGACAUCAUGUUUAUGUCCCAUCAAUAUCCCAUAACUGUGGAGAGCUGUUGUCCACAUUAACCCACAUAUGAAGAUGUACGCAUGUACAAACACAGGAAAAAAAACAAAAAACACACAGAGGCAGAAAUAGGCCUAAGUCAGACACACGCACAUGCAUAAAUGGAAGACUUUCACAAGAGCUACAACACUGUAGUUUUUCAAGAUGCUCAGACAACUAAGUAAUUCCCAGCAACACUCACCUAAAACUCUCACAAACACAUGCACACACUGAAUAUUCAUGCUUCCCAUAUUCAUAUAUUAUACAAGACAUCAUGAAGGCCCAAAAAUCCAACUCACAUAAAUGUAUGCACACUCUCACAUGCACGGACUAGAUUGGCAGUCAGUAGAUCACUUACCUCUACUGAGGCUCUGUAGUCCCCUUGAAUUCAAUCAAACCUAUCAAACUCCUUUACCCUUUAUCACUUUAAAUUUGAAACCACUCAUAACUGCUUAUCCAUCGAAAUUUACCAGAUUUUUUUCAUCAAUAUCCAUGUAUUAAUACCUGAGAACAUAAAGACAAUGCUGGAACAAUGUUUUAUUAAUGAAGUGAGAAAAAAACAAACAAACAAACAAAAAAAACUGUCCCUUGUCCUGGGCAGGGACCCAUCCUCCAUCCAAGUUUUGUGGAAAUAGUGUAAAUGUAAGUUUUUUUGUGUUCUCUCAAAAAAUAUCACGCUAGUUAUAGUUGAAAUUCAAAAGGAUCAUUCAAUGCCUCAAGAGGGUAUAUGCUCGUGUUGAGACAGAUAUAUCAGUACGAAGAUUAAUAACUAAACAUUGCUAUUUUUGGGUAAAAGUUUAAUUUAUCAUCAACAGGAACAGAGGGACAGUAACCACGCCAUCUCCAGGUUUUUGUCUACAGCUACUAAUUACUGCGCCCGUCGUAGUCAUAUGCAAACCACUACGACGUAAAUACACGAGAUGCCACUGAGAUAGACUUGACAUUGAAUAUGACAACAAAAGCAAUCAUGUGUGGAGCUACAUAUGACAAUAGAAUGCUGUCUGUUUAAAUGUGUCAGAAUCUUACCGCUAUUGGUUUUACUUGGUGAGGGAAUCAGUAGUAUCGCACAUCACUAUUUGCACUCCUGCCCCAACUGUGCUCAAAGCUGUGCACUGUUAUUAGGUCACACAUUUCCUUGCUAAACACAAACAAGUCCCCAAACUUUCUCUCUCACUGUCAUUUGAUGCUGCCACACUUCCAAAAUGCAGCUUUGCUUCUUUUUCCAGACCUCAGAGAACAAAUGAGCUAAUACUGCACUGGUCUGCUCCUUCUCUGUCUCUGUUGCAGUGGCACCAUUCCCGCCAUUUGUGUUUCGAUUCUGCUCUUUUUCAUUGACAAGACAUUCUUCAGCUCUUUCCCUGCUUCUCUCACAUUGCUGAUUUUUUCCCCCUCGCUCCUUUUCUCAUUUGUUCUCAGCACUUUUCUGCUGCUCACUCACCCCCUCUCCUCUCCUUGUCCUCUUGACUCAACACUGGAGACUGACUUCCCAUCCUGCUCACUUCUCUCACUUUUUAAUAGCUGUACUCUACUUCUUAGCGUUGGUCUGUUCACCCAGUUUUCUAUGACUCAUUCUUUCCUGCAUUCUUCUGCGCAUAAUUUUGCUUUUCUUCACCUUUCUUUUCACGCUAUUUGCUUUGUCCUUUUUUUCUUAAUAUUAAGACAUAAUUAUCUUCUAUUGCUUGUUUAGAGAGAUUUAUAUUUUUGCAUUUGAAGUAAAAAUCUUUAAAUAAGAAAAAUAAGAUUUUCAUGUAAAUAUCAAUCUCUGUCUAUUGCCAAAUGAGGCAACACAAUGAUACCAAAGAUCUACACUGGGUGUCGGUGGCAACUUGCCAGGAACACUGACUGAUGCGUUCACCCAGCAGUGGUAGGUUGGCCAGAGAAAAUAGGUGAUUGGCAUCAUAGUGACUGGAAUAGGUUAGCCUAAUGUAUGACAAUGAAUAAGUAUGUACUAGGGUUGGGCCAAUGAACAAUGCAAUCUUCCAUUGCUGAUGGCUGACAGCCAUGGACUACUAAUCCCUGACCAUCAUAACAUUGUUAUUCAAACCAUUUCCCAGCAGCAAGUGCAAUUAAGUGGCGUUUCCCCUCUGAGUUGCCGUAGGGUAGGAGUUGUUGUUGUUUGUGAUAUGUGCAUAAAGGGGAAUUAAAAGAAGGAUGUUGCUGCUCAGCGCACCAACAUUGCAUCUCCACAUCACAUUUAUUAUUCCUUAAAUAAAACCAACUCAGUUUGGCGAACCUAAGGCGUUCAUUUACAUUUGUGGCAGCAGUGUUUCUUUUCCAGCGGGCAGCUGUUUCUCUCAGUUCAUGACGUUUUUAUACACAGUUUUCAUGGCUUAGCUUCCUUGGCUUGUCGGCCAAUGUUGUUUUAUACAUAUGAGGCUGAGCAAAGCUGAAUUAUGGACACAUGGCAUGGAGACAAGGACUCUUAAACCUAGCAUGAGGAUGUAUGUUGGUGGUGACGGGAGACAGUUUCCUCUGCAGGGUGAAGCAGUUGCAGAGUCAUGUCAGAGCAACAGCGGCUAAUAGUGGUGAGCUAAUACACAACUGCUGCCUUACGACAACACUGAGUGGACAUUCUACCUCAAAUUCAUAUCAUCUAGAUCUCCACUUGAACAAUAAUGGACAGUAGACGGAUGCUGAGAAUGCAGUAUACAUAAAGUACCCGUAUUAAUUUCUGCUGCUGUUAUGCAUGUCUGAGUGUUUCUUUGCUAUAUACUUUGUCAUUCAAUAUCCUUUUCCUGAUUACAACAAAUCCUUAUUUUCACCAUUCCUUUCUCACUGUCAGCGUCAACUAUUUGCAUUUCUUUGGUGGCUGAUUAUUAACAAAUAAUUAUGUUUGUUUUGUUUUAAGUUUUAAAAGAGUUUAAAUGUAAACAUAGCUCUUAACAGGCAUGCACAGGUCACAUUGUUCCCACACACUGUUCCCACACACACACACACACACACACACACACACACACACACACACACACACACACACACACACACAGCGCUUAUUAAGAGAAAGGUCAGUCCUUUCAAAACAACAAGCUGCUUCAAUAGAUAGUGAGAGGAAGAAAAACAGAUUAUCGCCCAGAUGCUAAAAUGUAACCGCCGGGGUAAUUCAUCCACUUCUGCAGGUACAAGUUCAGUCAAGAUCUUCCGUAAUUGCACAUAUGUAAGAGUGUUGUGCUACUUAUGACUGCGAUGUUAUUCUCUUUUUUUUUUUUUCUUUGGAACAUGAAAACCAAGUUGAAUAACAGAGUCAGAAGUAGUUUUCUUCAACCCUGAGUAAUGAUUUAUGUCUCGCAGUCACGACAGAUGUAAAGGACAUUAUUUAAAUAUUCACUGUGAUGAACAAGCUGAAAGCUGAAAAUAAAGUACAAAGCAAUUUGUGUCAUAGCACUCAAUAUUUCCUGUUUAUCA
Long non-coding RNA from Acanthopagrus latus (yellowfin seabream), 3893 nucleotides. RefSeq lists it as uncharacterized. The record is from RefSeq and is a predicted model, not a curated record. Lineage: Eukaryota; Metazoa; Chordata; Actinopteri; Spariformes; Sparidae. The transcript is spliced from 3 exons.